This 253-nucleotide ribosomal RNA is filed under the name uncultured bacterium. Its description in RNAcentral is "partial 16S ribosomal RNA". It matches the Rfam family "Bacterial small subunit ribosomal RNA", at positions 524 to 776 of the family's 1533-position model. The record is from RNAcentral.
AACGUAGGACGCAAGCGUUAUCCGGAGUUACUGGGCGUAAAGCGCGGGCAGGCGGCCAACCAAGUCUGAUGUGAAAUCUCUUCGCUCAACGGAGAGAGGCCAUUGGAAACUGGUCGGCUGGAGGGCAGUAGAGGUAGGCGGAAUUCCGGGUGGAGUGGUGAAAUGCGUAGAUAUCGGGAGGAACACCAGCGGCGAAGGCGGCCUUCUGGACGGUGACUGACACUGAGACGCGAAAGCGUGGGGAGCAAACAGG